This 577-nucleotide ribosomal RNA is filed under the name bacterium 20-L049641-122-013-D03. RNAcentral's name for it is "bacterial SSU rRNA". It matches the Rfam family "Bacterial small subunit ribosomal RNA", at positions 60 to 655 of the family's 1533-position model. The record is from RNAcentral.
AGUCGACGAUGAAGCCUUUCGGGGUGGAUUAGUGGCGAACGGGUGAGUAACACGUGGGCAAUCUGCCCUUCACUCUGGGACAAGCCCUGGAAACGGGGUCUAAUACCGGAUAACACUCUGUCCCGCAUGGGACGGGGUUAAAAGCUCCGGCGGUGAAGGAUGAGCCCGCGGCCUAUCAGCUUGUUGGUGGGGUAAUGGCCUACCAAGGCGACGACGGGUAGCCGGCCUGAGAGGGCGACCGGCCACACUGGGACUGAGACACGGCCCAGACUCCUACGGGAGGCAGCAGUGGGGAAUAUUGCACAAUGGGCGAAAGCCUGAUGCAGCGACGCCGCGUGAGGGAUGACGGCCUUCGGGUUGUAAACCUCUUUCAGCAGGGAAGAAGCGAAAGUGACGGUACCUGCAGAAGAAGCGCCGGCUAACUACGUGCCAGCAGCCGCGGUAAUACGUAGGGCGCAAGCGUUGUCCGGAAUUAUUGGGCGUAAAGAGCUCGUAGGCGGCUUGUCACGUCGGAUGUGAAAGCCCGGGGCUUAACCCCGGGUCUGCAUUCGAUACGGGCUAGCUAGAGUGUGGUAGG